UUAAGUUAAUAAGGGCGCACGGUGGAUGCCUUGGCACUAGGAGCCGACGAAGGACGUGACAAACGACGAUAUGCCUUGGGUAGCUGUAAGUAAGCGAUGAUCCAGGGAUUUCCGAAUGGGGGAACCCAACAGGUAAUACCUGUUACCCACAUCUGUUUAAGGAUGUGAGGAGGAAGACGCAGUGAACUGAAACAUCUAAGUAGCUGCAGGAAGAGAAAGCAAAAGCGAUUGCCUUAGUAGCGGCGAGCGAAACGGCAGAAGGGCAAACCGAAGAGUUUACUCUUCGGGGUUGUAGGACUGCAAUGUGGACUCAAAGAUUAUAGAAGAAUGAUUUGGGAAGAUCAGCCAAAGAGAGUAAUAGCCUCGUAUUUAAAUAGUCUUUGUACCUAGCAGUAUCCUGAGUACGGCGGGACACGUGAAAUCCCGUCGGAAUCUGGGAGGACCAUCUCCCAACCCUAAAUACUCCCUAGUGACCGAUAGUGAACCAGUACCGUGAGGGAAAGGUGAAAAGCACCCCGGGAGGGGAGUGAAAUAGAACCUGAAACCGUGUGCCUACAACAAGUUCGAGCCCGUUAAUGGGUGAGAGCGUGCCUUUUGUAGAAUGAACCGGCGAGUUACGUUAUGAUGCGAGGUUAAGUUGAAGAGACGGAGCCGUAGGGAAACCGAGUCUGAAUAGGGCGCCUUAGUAUCAUGACGUAGACCCGAAACCAUGUGACCUACCCAUGAGCAGGUUGAAGGUGCGGUAAGACGCACUGGAGGACCGAACCAGGGCACGUUGAAAAGUGCUUGGAUGACUUGUGGGUAGCGGAGAAAUUCCAAACGAACUUGGAGAUAGCUGGUUCUCUCCGAAAUAGCUUUAGGGCUAGCGUCGACAUUAGAGAUUCUUGGAGGUAGAGCACUGUUUGGGUGAGGGGUCCAUCCCGGAUUACCAAUCUCAGAUAAACUCCGAAUGCCAAUGAAUUAUGGUCGGCAGUCAGACUGCGAGUGCUAAGAUCCGUAGUCGAAAGGGAAACAGCCCAGACCACCAGCUAAGGUCCCAAAAUAAUUGUUAAGUGGAAAAGGAUGUGGGGUUGCACAGACAACUAGGAUGUUAGCUUAGAAGCAGCUAUUCAUUCAAAGAGUGCGUAAUAGCUCACUAGUCGAGUGACCCUGCGCCGAAAAUGUACCGGGGCUAAAACAAUUUACCGAAGCUGUGGAUACCUUUAUAGGUAUGGUAGGAGAGCGUUCUAUGUGUGAUGAAGGUAUACCGUGAGGAGUGCUGGAACGCAUAGAAGUGAGAAUGCCGGUAUGAGUAGCGAAAGACAGGUGAGAAUCCUGUCCACCGUAAGACUAAGGUUUCCAGGGGAAGGCUCGUCCGCCCUGGGUUAGUCGGGACCUAAGGAGAGACCGAAAGGUGUAUCCGAUGGACAACAGGUUGAUAUUCCUGUACUAGAGUAUGUAGUGAUGGAGGGACGCAGUAGGCUAACUAAAGCAGACGAUUGGAAGAGUCUGUCUAAGCAGUGAGGUGUGAAUUGAGUCAAAUGCUUAAUUCUAUAACAUUGAGCUGUGAUGGGGAGCGAAGUUUAGUAGCGAAGUUAGUGACGUCACACUGCCAAGAAAAGCUUCUAGCGUUUAAACAUACUCUACCCGUACCGCAAACCGACACAGGUAGUCGAGGCGAGUAGCCUCAGGUGAGCGAGAGAACUCUCGUUAAGGAACUCGGCAAAAUGACCCCGUAACUUCGGGAGAAGGGGUGCUGACUUUAAGUCAGCCGCAGUGAAUAGGCCCAAGCAACUGUUUAUCAAAAACACAGCUCUCUGCUAAAUCGUAAGAUGAUGUAUAGGGGGUGACGCCUGCCCGGUGCUGGAAGGUUAAGAGGAGUGCUUAGCGUAAGCGAAGGUAUGAAUUGAAGCCCCAGUAAACGGCGGCCGUAACUAUAACGGUCCUAAGGUAGCGAAAUUCCUUGUCGGGUAAGUUCCGACCCGCACGAAAGGCGUAAUGAUUUGGGCACUGUCUCAACGAGAGACUCGGUGAAAUUUUAGUACCUGUGAAGAUGCAGGUUACCCGCGACAGGACGGAAAGACCCCAUGGAGCUUUACUGCAGUUUGAUAUUGAGUGUCUGUACCACAUGUACAGGAUAGGUAGGAGUCUAAGAGAUCGGGACGCCAGUUUCGAAGGAGACGCUGUUGGGAUACUACCCUUGUGUUAUGGCCACUCUAACCCAGAUAGGUGAUCCCUAUCGGAGACAGUGUCUGACGGGCAGUUUGACUGGGGCGGUCGCCUCCUAAAAGGUAACGGAGGCGCCCAAAGGUUCCCUCAGAAUGGUUGGAAAUCAUUCGCAGAGUGUAAAGGUAUAAGGGAGCUUGACUGCGAGAGCUACAACUCGAGCAGGGACGAAAGUCGGGCUUAGUGAUCCGGUGGUUCCGUAUGGAAGGGCCAUCGCUCAACGGAUAAAAGCUACCCUGGGGAUAACAGGCUUAUCUCCCCCAAGAGUUCACAUCGACGGGGAGGUUUGGCACCUCGAUGUCGGCUCGUCGCAUCCUGGGGCUGUAGUCGGUCCCAAGGGUUGGGCUGUUCGCCCAUUAAAGCGGCACGCGAGCUGGGUUCAGAACGUCGUGAGACAGUUCGGUCCCUAUCCGUCGCGGGCGUAGGAAAUUUGAGAGGAUCUGCUCCUAGUACGAGAGGACCAGAGUGGACUUACCGCUGGUGUACCAGUUGUCUUGCCAAAGGCAUCGCUGGGUAGCUAUGUAGGGAAGGGAUAAACGCUGAAAGCAUCUAAGUGUGAAACCCACCUCAAGAUGAGAUUUCCCAUGAUUAUAUAUCAGUAAGAGCCCUGAGAGAUGAUCAGGUAGAUAGGUUAGAAGUGGAAGUGUGGCGACACAUGUAGCGGACUAAUACUAAUAGCUCGAGGACUUAUCCAA
This 2900-nucleotide ribosomal RNA is filed under the name Streptococcus pneumoniae GA19101. RNAcentral describes it as "bacterial LSU rRNA". It matches the Rfam family "Bacterial large subunit ribosomal RNA". Lineage: Bacteria; Bacillati; Bacillota; Bacilli; Lactobacillales; Streptococcaceae. The record is from RNAcentral.